UACGUAGGGUGCGAGCGUUGCCCGGAUUUAUUGGGCGUAAAGGGCGCGUAGGCGGCUCUGCACGUCCGUUGUGAAAUCGCCCGGCUCAACUGGGCGGGGUCAGCGGAUACGGCGGAGCUUGAGCAAGCUAGGGGGCAAUGGAAUUCCCGGUGUAGUGGUGGAAUGCGUAGAUAUCGGGAGGAACACCAGUGGCGAAGGCGGUUCUCUGGGCCUGACCUGACGCUGAGGAGCGAAAGCGUGGGGAGCGAACAGG
This 253-nucleotide ribosomal RNA is filed under the name uncultured bacterium. RNAcentral's name for it is "partial 16S ribosomal RNA". It matches the Rfam family "Bacterial small subunit ribosomal RNA", at positions 524 to 776 of the family's 1533-position model. The record is from RNAcentral.